UGGGGAAUAUUGGACAAUGGGCGGAAGCCUGAUCCAGCAACGCCGCGUGAGGGAUGACGGCCUUCGGGUUGUAAACCUCUUUCAGCGCAGACGAAGCUGCCUUUGGGUGGUGACGGUAUGCGCAGAAGAAGCACCGGCCAACUACGUGCCAGCAGCCGCGGUAAUACGUAGGGUGCGAGCGUUGUCCGGAAUUAUUGGGCGUAAAGGGCUCGUAGGCGGUUUGUUGCGUCGGGAGUGAAAUCUUACAGCUUAACUGUGAGCUUGCUUUCGAUACGGGCAGACUGGAGGUAUGCAGGGGAGAACGGAAUUCCUGGUGUAGCGGUGAAAUGCGCAGAUAUCAGGAGGAACACCGGUGGCGAAGGCGGUUCUCUGGGCAUGUCCUGACGCUGAGGAGCGAAAGUGUGGGGAGCGAACAGG
RNAcentral lists this ribosomal RNA (417 nucleotides) under uncultured bacterium. RNAcentral's name for it is "bacterial SSU rRNA". It matches the Rfam family "Bacterial small subunit ribosomal RNA", at positions 355 to 776 of the family's 1533-position model. The record is from RNAcentral.